AUGGUUCAUAGGAUCAUCGGUGUUGGUGUGCACUACACCAAUGGAGAUGAACCUCCCCAGAUGGCAGCAGUCCUGCAGUUGUGCGUCGACGACCUCUGCUUGGUUUACCACAUCGCAGCGGCCACAAAAUGGCCCAAGCGCCUGAACGAGUUGCUGCAGCAUAAGAAGUUGUUCACCUUUGCCGGUUUCAGCAUUGAAAGCGACAAAGAGAAGCAGAAGUUGUCCGGUUUGGAGAUCAACCCCAACAAGUUCAUCGACAUUCAGCGCAAGUGGAGAGUACCAUAG
RNAcentral lists this ribosomal RNA (285 nucleotides) under Triticum aestivum (bread wheat). Its description in RNAcentral is "partial small subunit ribosomal RNA". Lineage: Eukaryota; Viridiplantae; Streptophyta; Magnoliopsida; Poales; Poaceae. The record is from RNAcentral.